GGUUUCUUAAAUAAUGUCAUA
RNAcentral lists this non-coding RNA (21 nucleotides) under Caenorhabditis elegans. Lineage: Eukaryota; Metazoa; Nematoda; Chromadorea; Rhabditida; Rhabditidae. The record is from RNAcentral.